RNAcentral lists this transfer RNA (67 nucleotides) under Mimachlamys nobilis (noble scallop). Its description in RNAcentral is "tRNA-Ala". It matches the Rfam family "tRNA". Rfam says of the family: Transfer RNA (tRNA) molecules are approximately 80 nucleotides in length. Their secondary structure includes four short double-helical elements and three loops (D, anti-codon, and T loops). Lineage: Eukaryota; Metazoa; Mollusca; Bivalvia; Pectinida; Pectinidae. The record is from RNAcentral.
UGCUCCUUAGUGUAAGUUAACAUUUCUGAUUUGCAAUCAGAGAAUGAGAGAAAAUUCUCAGGAGCAU